This 301-nucleotide ribosomal RNA is filed under the name uncultured bacterium. RNAcentral's name for it is "partial 16S ribosomal RNA". It matches the Rfam family "Bacterial small subunit ribosomal RNA", at positions 509 to 807 of the family's 1533-position model. The record is from RNAcentral.
CAGUAGCCGCGGUAAUACGAAGGGGGCUAGCGUUGUUCGGAUUUACUGGGUGUAAAGCGCACGUAGGCGGAUCCUUAAGUCAGAGGUGAAAUCCCAAGGCUCAACCUUGGAACCGCCUUUGAUACUGGGGAUCUCGAGUUCGGGAGAGGUGAGUGGAACUGCGAGUGCAGAGGUGAAAUUCGUAGAUAUCGGAAGGAACACCUGUGGCGAAAGCGGCUCACUGGACAUUUACUGACGCUGAGGCGCGAAAGCGUGGGGAGCAAACAGGAUUAGAUACCCCAGUAGUCCCUGUCUCUUAUAC